UGACGGAGCGACGCCGCGUGAGGGAUGACAGCUUUCGGGUUGUAAACCUCUUUUAUUAAGGAAAAAGAUCUAUAUGCUAAUAUCAUGUAGAUUUGAUGGUACUUAUUGAAUAAGCCCCGGCUAACUACGUGCCAGCAGCC
Molecule: ribosomal RNA, 140 nt
Filed under: bacterium BYND-8-A
Lineage: Bacteria
Description: partial 16S ribosomal RNA
Rfam family: Bacterial small subunit ribosomal RNA
Source: RNAcentral